GCGGAACUUCCACAUAUCGCGCCUAUCCCUCGGACAGACUGCGCGGAAAUUUCCAAGAUGGCCGCGACGUCGCGAGUGUUCUGAUCGGUGUGUGACAGCGAGUCCGUUUCGCGCGUGCUUUUUUCGCGAGUGUCGUCAAAGCAAGCUGAGGAUCCGAGACUGGCGCGAGAUCUCCUGGCCCCGGAGGGGCCCUCCGACAAGGUAUGUUUGCAGCACUUCUUAACUUUCAAGAUCAGAACAGUUGUCCCAACCGUUAGAGUGGCCUGCAAAAUGUAUGAAAUCGUUACGAAUUUUGUAUACUGCUUUUCAGUUUUGCUUUACACAGACGCUAACAAAACCUAUAUCCAUGAUGUAAAAAUAACGUGCGUUUAUUGAAAAAUAAUAAAUAUAGCUUGAGAACCUGUU
Nasonia vitripennis (jewel wasp) is the source of this 405-nucleotide long non-coding RNA. RefSeq lists it as uncharacterized. Lineage: Eukaryota; Metazoa; Arthropoda; Insecta; Hymenoptera; Pteromalidae. The record is from RefSeq and is a predicted model, not a curated record. The transcript has 2 exons.